GUUACUAACUCAGUAUCUCCUCUUUCCUGUAGUAUUGUGCUCUUCCGUCUCUCUCUCCUCUUCUGUCUCUUUCUGCAGGUAUUUCUUCCUCUGGAGCUGUAGAGUCUGAUCUGUGAUGACAAGUCCCCUGCUGCUCCUACAACUCCACUCAACACCUGCUGCUAGAAUUAGAAAUUACUUAUACUGCUAUUAGUUGUAUUGCUGUGUUAGCAGUUAAUACUUUAAUUAUCACUACUAUCACUACUACUGUUGUAUUACUGGCCUCAUCUUACAUCUGAUAUGGAACCUGUGUUAUGCUAUGUUCUUCUUUCGCUAUUCCCUACCCCCUCUCCCUCCUCUCCCCCUCUCUCUCCUUCUUAACCCAACCGGUCGAGGCAGAUGGCCGCCCACCCUGAGUCCGGUUCUGCUCGAGGUUUCUGCCUCUUAAAAGGAAGUUUUUCCUUGCCACUGUCGCCUAGUGCUUGCUCUUGGUGGGAUUUGUUGGGUCUCUCUCUGUAAAUACCUAUUUUAAAGAGUAUGGUCUAGACCUGCUCUAUAUGAAAAGUGCCUUGAGAUGACUGUUGUUGUGAUAUGGCGCUAUAUAAAUAAAAUUGAAUUGAAUUGAAUUGAA
Molecule: long non-coding RNA, 610 nt
Organism: Lates calcarifer (barramundi perch)
Lineage: Eukaryota; Metazoa; Chordata; Actinopteri; Centropomidae
Exons: 2
Source: RefSeq, a predicted model, not a curated record